AAAGACUUAGUCCUAACCUUACUGUUAAUUUUCGCUAAACAUAUACAUGCAAGUAUCCGCACCCCAGUGUAAAUGCCCUUAACGUCUCCCCCAGACGAAAGGAGCAGGUAUCAGGCACACUUUCCCAGUAGCCCAAGACACCUUGCUUAGCCACACCCCCACGGGUAUUCAGCAGUAAUAAACAUUAAGCAAUAAGUGUAAACUUGACUUAGUUAUAGCGACCUUAAGGGUUGGUAAAUCUUGUGCCAGCCACCGCGGUCACACAAGAGACCCAAACUAACAGUAAUCGGCGUAAAGUGUGGUAAUACGCUAUCCAACCAACUAAGAUCAAAAUGCAACCAAGCUGUCAUAAGCCUAAGAUGCACCUAAGACCACCAUGAAAAUGAUCUUAGCACAUGUGAUAAACUUUAACCCACGAAAGCUAAGGCACAAACUGGGAUUAGAUACCCCACUAUGCUUAGCCCUAAAUCUUGAUACUCACCUUACCAGAGCAUCCGCCUGAGAACUACGAGCACAAACGCUUAAAACUCUAAGGACUUGGCGGUGCCCUAAA
RNAcentral lists this ribosomal RNA (553 nucleotides) under Dromaius novaehollandiae (emu). Its description in RNAcentral is "partial 12S ribosomal RNA". It matches the Rfam family "Bacterial small subunit ribosomal RNA", at positions 9 to 925 of the family's 1533-position model. Lineage: Eukaryota; Metazoa; Chordata; Aves; Casuariiformes; Dromaiidae. The record is from RNAcentral.